Molecule: ribosomal RNA, 1377 nt
Filed under: uncultured bacterium
Lineage: Bacteria
Description: 16S ribosomal RNA
Rfam family: Bacterial small subunit ribosomal RNA
Source: RNAcentral
UGAACGCUGGCGGUAUGCUUAACACAUGCAAGUCGAACGGAAACGAUACUAGCUUGCUAGUAGGCGUCGAGUGGCGGACGGGUGAGUAACGCGUAGGAAUCUGCCUGAUAGUGGGGGAUAGCCCGAAGAAAUUCGGAUUAAUACCGCAUAAUCUAUUCGUAGUAAAGUGGGGGACUUUCGAGCCUCACGCUAUCAGAUGAGCCUGCGUAAGAUUAGCUUGUUGGUAGGGUAAAAGCCUACCAAGGCAACGAUCUUUAGCUGGUCUGAGAGGAUGAUCAGCCACAUCGGGACUGAGACACGGCCCGAACUCCUACGGGAGGCAGCAGUGGGGAAUAUUGGACAAUGGGGGCAACCCUGAUCCAGCAAUACCGCGUGUGUGAAGAAGGCCCGAGGGUUGUAAAGCACUUUCAAUUGUGAAGAAAAGUUAACGGUUAAUAACCGUUAGCCUUGACGUUAACUUUAGAAGGAGCACCGGCUAACUCCGUGCCAGCAGCCGCGGUAAUACGGAGGGUGCAAGCGUUAAUCGGAAUUACUGGGCGUAAAGCGUGCGUAGGCGGUUUAUUAAGUCAGAUGUGAAAGCCCCGGGGCUUAACCUGGGAACUGCAUUUGAAACUGGUCAACUAGAGUAUGGUAGAGGAAAGUGGAAUUUCUGGUGUAGCGGUGAAAUGCGUAGAUAUCAGAAGGAACAUCAAUGGCGAAAGGCAGCUUUCUGGACCAAUACUGACGCUGAGGUACGAAAGCGUGGGUAGCAAACAGGAUUAGAUACCCUGGUAGUCCACGCCGUAAACGAUGAUAACUAGCCGUUGGGGGGAUUUACCCUUUAGUGGCGAAGCUAACGCGUUAAGUUAUCCGCCUGGGGAGUACGGCCGCAAGGUUAAAACUCAAAGGAAUUGACGGGGACCCGCACAAGCGGUGGAGCAUGUGGUUUAAUUCGAUGCAACGCGAAGAACCUUACCUGGUCUUGACAUCCUGCGAACUUUCUAGAAAUAGAUUGGUGCCUUCGGGAACGCAGUGACAGGUGCUGCAUGGCUGUCGUCAGCUCGUGUCGUGAGAUGUUGGGUUAAGUCCCGUAACGAGCGCAACCCCUAUCCUUAUUUGCCAGCACGUCAUGGUGGGAACUAUAAGGAGACUGCCGGUGAUAAACCGGAGGAAGGCGGGGACGACGUCAAGUCAUCAUGGCCCUUACGACCAGGGCUACACACGUGCUACAAUGGGAAGGACAAAGAGCCGCGAAGCCGCGAGGUGUAGCUAAUCUCAGAAAUCUUUUCGUAGUCCGGAUUGGAGUCUGCAACUCGACUCCAUGAAGUCGGAAUCGCUAGUAAUCGUAGAUCAGAAUGCUACGGUGAAUACGUUCCCGGGUCUUGUACACACCGCCCG